Molecule: long non-coding RNA, 639 nt
Organism: Mus musculus (house mouse)
Lineage: Eukaryota; Metazoa; Chordata; Mammalia; Rodentia; Muridae
Product: predicted gene, 35434
Exons: 3
Source: RefSeq, a predicted model, not a curated record
UGGUUUUGUUUCACGUAACUAAUCGAUCUAAAUGUCCUAAAGGAAUACAACCUGUUUCUGGCACAUGGGUUCCAUUUCUUGCUGAUGUCACCACCCAGGACCAAAGGAUGUUAGCUCAUUUCCUCUAAGACUGCCUCCCAGCCACUCAUCAUGGCUGAUCUGCAGGGAAUGGGAUGGGCUGUCCCCUCACCUGUAUGGACCUAAGAAUUUACACUGUCACAGAAGCUGGGGAUGGCUGGUGACUCCACAAUGAUCAGCGCCUUCGUUGCGGCUCUGGGCAAUUAAGACUACCGUGCAGACCCCAGCCGACUGCCUCCUCGUGACAGUAAAUGUCACAGUAAGCAGGACCCUCAGGCCUCUAGACCUCAGCUUCUCCAUUUCAAGAAUAUGAUGCAAUGAGGGGAUCCCCACACCCCACAGGUACCAGGUACUGCAGGUCUCAGGGUCUAUGACCUCAUGGUCAAGUCACAGGGAUGCAGUAAUUGCUUCUCCAGACCAGGCACGGCUUUCUCCUCUCUUUCAGUAAUGAGAUGGGGAGGUUAAGACUGGCCAGAAGUCCCAAAGACUUCUCUGUAGACAGGACAACUCUUUUAAAAAGUGUGUACUGAUUGUCAACAAAGGAAAACUCGCAAAGGUAAA